RNAcentral lists this long non-coding RNA (715 nucleotides) under Cairina moschata (Muscovy duck). Its description in RNAcentral is "domestica (muscovy Duck (domestic type)) lncRNA (ENSCMMG00000002507.1)". Lineage: Eukaryota; Metazoa; Chordata; Aves; Anseriformes; Anatidae. The record is from RNAcentral.
AUGUGGAAGGGGCUUCCCUCCAUCCUGUCCCUCACUCUGGGAGGAAGAGGAGCGUUGUGGAGCAGCAGCAGGGUGAGACAGUCACAGCUGGGCUGGUGCUUCCCAUAUGGAGGCACCAUAUGGCCACUCCACCUCGUCACAAGGUCGGCUCGCCAGGACCGCCUGCGCAUUUCCCAUCCGUGUGUUCACAGAGGGGAGAAGCCACAGGAGAGCUACAUACAGCAGGGGAUUCCCUCUAAAUUAGCUGCAGGAGAGAACUUGCUACGGAAUCGGAGGCAGAGGAGGAGGAGUGCUGAGGUCAAGCUUUUCAAGUCGGAAGGGUUAUGGCUCAGCAGCCAGUGUUUUGUCCACCACUUCCCUGGAGAAAACAAGCUGCAGUUGCAGAGAAACUCCUGAAACCCUCUUUGGAGGCUAAAAACCCAGCUGGCACUCUGCCCACCCCUCUUGCUCGCGUGGCACCGCAGGUGGCCGGGCUCCCAUCCCCUCUCCCGCACACAGCUCCUCAGCAUCGAGCAGCCCAGCUUAAAGCCCAGUCAGUCACUCCAUCACCACGGUGAGCUUUUUGUUUAUUUAUUUAUUUAUUUCACUAGGCAAUGAUUCAUGAGGCUGGUUCUGUUACCUGAUGCAUGGUAUUUGCAGAGGGGGUGGACUGGCUGUCAGAGCAGGGCUUUGCUCCUCGAUCUGCUUUCAGCUUAGCAUAAAAUAUAUCUGCUAA